RNAcentral lists this ribosomal RNA (301 nucleotides) under uncultured bacterium. Its description in RNAcentral is "partial 16S ribosomal RNA". It matches the Rfam family "Bacterial small subunit ribosomal RNA", at positions 509 to 807 of the family's 1533-position model. The record is from RNAcentral.
CAGCAGCCGCGGGAAUACGAAGGGUGCAAGCGUUACUCGGAAUUACUGGGCGUAAAGCGUGCGUAGGCGGUUUGUUAAGUCUGCUGUGAAAUCCCCGGGCUCAACCUGGGAAUGGCAGUGGAUACUGGCAAGCUAGAGUGUGUCAGAGGAUGGUGGAAUUCCCGGUGUAGCGGUGAAAUGCGUAGAGAUCGGGAGGAACAUCAGUGGCGAAGGCGGCCAUCUGGGACAACACUGACGCUGAGGCACGAAAGCGUGGGGAGCAAACAGGAUUAGAUACCCCCGUAGUCCCUGUCUCUUAUAC